RNAcentral lists this ribosomal RNA (426 nucleotides) under uncultured bacterium. RNAcentral describes it as "bacterial SSU rRNA". It matches the Rfam family "Bacterial small subunit ribosomal RNA", at positions 354 to 796 of the family's 1533-position model. The record is from RNAcentral.
GUGGGGAAUCUUGCGCAAUGGGCGAAAGCCUGACGCAGCAACGCCGCGUGCGGGAUGACGGCCCUCGGGUUGUAAACCGCUUUCAGCAGGAACGAAUCUGACGGUACCUGCAGAAGAAGGUCCGGCCAACUACGUGCCAGCAGCCGCGGUAACACGUAGGGACCAAGCGUUGUCCGGAUUUAUUGGGCGUAAAGAGCUCGUAGGCGGUUCGGUAAGUCGGGUGUGAAAACUCUGGGCUCAACUCGGAGAGGCCACCCGAUACUGCCGUGACUUGAGUCCGGUAGGGGAGCACGGAAUUCCUGGUGUAGCGGUGAAAUGCGCAGAUAUCAGGAGGAACACCGGUGGCGAAGGCGGUGCUCUGGGCCGGUACUGACGCUGAGGAGCGAAAGCGUGGGUAGCAAACAGGAUUAGAAACCCCUGUAGUCC